CACGCGCGCUACACUGAUGUAUU
Molecule: non-coding RNA, 23 nt
Filed under: Arabidopsis thaliana (thale cress)
Lineage: Eukaryota; Viridiplantae; Streptophyta; Magnoliopsida; Brassicales; Brassicaceae
Source: RNAcentral